UACGAGGGGGGCAAGCGUUGUUCGGAAUUAUUGGGCGUAAAGGGCGCGUAGGCGGUCUGAUAAGUCUGAUGUGAAAUCUCUGGGCUCAACCCAGAGUCUGCAUUAGAAACUGUCGGGCUUGAGUAUGGGAGAGGUGCGUGGAAUUUCCGGUGUAGCGGUGAAAUGCGUAGAUAUCGGAAGGAACACCUGUGGCGAAAGCGGCGCACUGGACCAAAACUGACGCUGAGGCGCGAAAGCUAGGGGAGCAAACAGG
RNAcentral lists this ribosomal RNA (253 nucleotides) under uncultured bacterium. RNAcentral's name for it is "partial 16S ribosomal RNA". It matches the Rfam family "Bacterial small subunit ribosomal RNA", at positions 524 to 776 of the family's 1533-position model. The record is from RNAcentral.